This is a non-coding RNA of Phthorimaea operculella (potato tuberworm), 77 nucleotides long. The record is from the annotation of a GenBank genome assembly. Lineage: Eukaryota; Metazoa; Arthropoda; Insecta; Lepidoptera; Gelechiidae.
GCGCCCGUAGCUCAGUCAGAAGAGCGGUGGAGUGGAACGGUUAUCCACAGUCCCGGGUUCAAGUCCCGGCGGUCGCU